This 662-nucleotide unclassified non-coding RNA is filed under the name Hanseniaspora sp. CLIB 1623. RNAcentral's name for it is "sequence contains ITS1, 5.8S rRNA gene, ITS2". The stretch from base 278 to 431 matches the Rfam family "5.8S ribosomal RNA". Lineage: Eukaryota; Fungi; Ascomycota; Saccharomycetes; Saccharomycodales; Saccharomycodaceae. The record is from RNAcentral.
AUUCUCUUUGAAUUUUUUGGGGUUGCUUGGAACUUGCAGACAGAGUGUCGAGACUCGUGAGCCUGCGCUUAAUUGCGCGGCCUAGAGUCGAGUGCUUGUUAUUGGCUGCGGGGUACGAGUGCCUUUUGAAAAAAUCCAUUACACACUGUGAAGAUUUUUUUUCAUACUUUUACUUCUUUGGAGCUCUCCGGGGCUCCAAAGGCCAUAAACACAAACCAAACUUUUUUUUUUAUUAUUUGUUAAUCAAGAAAUUUUCUAUUGAAAUUAAAUAUUUUAAAACUUUCAACAACGGAUCUCUUGGUUCUCGCAUCGAUGAAGAACGUAGCGAAUUGCGAUAAGUAAUGUGAAUUGCAGAUUCUCGUGAAUCAUUGAAUUUUUGAACGCACAUUGCGCCUUCUGGUAUUCCAGAAGGCAUGCCUGUUUGAGCGUCAUUUCCUUCUCAAAAUCUCGAUUUUGGUUGUGAGUGAUACUCUGUUACAGGGUUAACUUGAAAGUGCUAUUUUGCCCUAGCUACUCUUUUUUUACUUGCUGAGAAAAGAUUUUUGGAUAAUUCAAUGUAUUUAGGUAUUUAUACCGACUUUCAUUGGAGGCUAAAAGUCUGGUCUGGGCGCUUUAAGGUGAAUUGUUGAGCAAAAGGGAUAUUACAGUAUUCAUAAAGUUUG